RNAcentral lists this transfer RNA (68 nucleotides) under Ochthebius caesaraugustae. RNAcentral's name for it is "transfer RNA-Leu". Lineage: Eukaryota; Metazoa; Arthropoda; Insecta; Coleoptera; Hydraenidae. The record is from RNAcentral. RNAcentral also lists the same sequence under 1 other name.
UAUUGUUAUUUUGGCAGAUUAGUGCAUUAAAUUUAGAAUUUAAUUAUGUAAUUAUUUACAGAUAAUAC